AUUGAACGCUGGCGGCAGGCUUAACACAUGCAAGUCGAGCGGGGUGAUGGUGCUUGCACUAUCACUUAGCGGCGGACGGGUGAGUAAUGCUUAGGAAUCUGCCUAUUAGUGGGGGACAACAUCUCGAAAGGGAUGCUAAUACCGCGUACGUCCUACGGGAGAAAGCAGGGGAUCACUUGUGACCUUGCGCUAAUAGAUGAGCCUAAGUCGGAUUAGCUAGUUGGUGGGGUAAAGGCCUACCAAGGCGACGAUCUGUAGCGGGUCUGAUAGGAUGAUCCGCCACACUGGGACUGAGACACGGCCCAGACUCCUACGGGAGGCAGCAGUGGGGAAUAUUGGACAAUGGGGGGAACCCUGAUCCAGCCAUGCCGCGUGUGUGAAGAAGGCCUUAUGGUUGUAAAGCACUUUAAGCGAGGAGGAGGCUCUUUUGGUUAAUACCCAAGAUGAGUGGACGUUACUCGCAGAAUAAGCACCGGCUAACUCUGUGCCAGCCGCCGCGGUAA
This 503-nucleotide ribosomal RNA is filed under the name uncultured bacterium. Its description in RNAcentral is "partial 16S ribosomal RNA". It matches the Rfam family "Bacterial small subunit ribosomal RNA", at positions 30 to 523 of the family's 1533-position model. The record is from RNAcentral.